GUGCUCACUUAAGUAGCACAUAUACGAAAAUUGGAAUGAUAGAGCAAAAAUCAUUAACAUGGUGCCUGUGUGAGGAUGAUUUGCAAAUUUGUGAAGUGUUCCAUAUUUUU
RNAcentral lists this small nuclear RNA (110 nucleotides) under Ailuropoda melanoleuca (giant panda). Lineage: Eukaryota; Metazoa; Chordata; Mammalia; Carnivora; Ursidae. The record is from RNAcentral.